RNAcentral lists this ribosomal RNA (468 nucleotides) under uncultured bacterium. Its description in RNAcentral is "partial 16S ribosomal RNA". It matches the Rfam family "Bacterial small subunit ribosomal RNA", at positions 28 to 507 of the family's 1533-position model. The record is from RNAcentral.
GACGAACGCUGGCGGCGUGCUUAACACAUGCAAGUCGAACGGAAAGGCCCUGCUUUUGUGGGGUGCUCGAGUGGCGAACGGGUGAGUAACACGUGAGUAACCUGCCCUUGACUUUGGGAUAACUUCAGGAAACUGGGGCUAAUACCGGAUAGGAGCUCCUGCUGCAUGGUGGGGGUUGGAAAGUUUCGGCGGUUGGGGAUGGACUCGCGGCUUAUCAGCUUGUUGGUGGGGUAGUGGCUUACCAAGGCUUUGACGGGUAGCCGGCCUGAGAGGGUGACCGGCCAGAUUGGGAGGGAGAUACGGCCCAGACUGCUACGGGAGGCAGCAGUGGGGAAGAGUGGACAAUGGGCGGAAGCCUGAUGCAGCAACGCCGCGUGCGGGAUGACGGCCUUCGGGUUGUAAAGCGCUUUCGCCUGUGACGAAGCGUGAGUGAAGGUAAUGGGUAAAGAAGCACCGGGUAACUACGUG